UCCGGCCGCGAAAUCGCUGGCUCGGGCGCGGGCUUGGAGGCGGCGCGUCCCCGCAAAAGGGGCUGGAGGUGGAGCCGGAGCCCGUGAGCAGUUUUCUUGGUCAACGCUUUUCUGCCUACCGCAGCCCACCCUCCGUAAGCCCUACGCUUGUCUCCUGCUGACAAAUGCCAGCGCGUGAAACGGUCUCUCUUCCAGGCUCCCUUUCUGUUUAUCUGAAAACACUGAAGUCCAGUAGUUGAUUCUUUUGUGUUUUCAAGCUCUCUGCUAUGGCCUGGGAAAGCAGUAGAAGAUGGACCAAGUCCUUGGGCCCUUGCACCCACAUGGAAGAUCUGGAAGAAGCUCCAGGCUCCUGGCUUCGGAUUGGCCCAACUCCAGCUGUUGCAGCCAACUGGAUAGUGAACCAGUGGAUGGAAGACACCCCCCCCCUUUCCUCUUAUCUGCCUCUCUGUAACUCUACCUUUCAAAUAAAAUAAAUCUUUUUUAAAAAUGUGCAUUUCUAA
Molecule: long non-coding RNA, 500 nt
Organism: Oryctolagus cuniculus (rabbit)
Lineage: Eukaryota; Metazoa; Chordata; Mammalia; Lagomorpha; Leporidae
Source: RefSeq, a predicted model, not a curated record